AUAAAUAUCUUAACCACUCAUAUCUUUCUCUUUCUAAUUCAAAAUUUUCAGAUUCAAUUUUUCUUCCACUUCUCUUUCUAGUUUCUCCUCUUUUCUCUCUCAAUUUUUUUGAAUGAAUGUUAGAUCUGAGUUAAUUUUUUGCUCUUCAAGAUGGAUCUUAGCACUAUCAAGAUGAAUCUUUGCACAAGAAAACACCAGAAGAGUGUGAACAAACCUCGAAAAUGUGGGGCAUCUCCAUUUUUUGCUCUUACAUGUUCUUCGAGUUCUUAUGGUUUUGUUUUACCUGCGUUUUUCUCUAUCAAUUUCUUUGAAUGCAUGAUCGAUUUAGGUUCGUUUGACGAAUCUUUUCACGAAGAAACACAAAUUUUAAAAAGGUAGGUGAGCUCUCUUUUAACCUUUUGUUCUUGUGGAUUUGAAUGUUCUGGCUUUUUUAUGUUCUUUGUUAAUUGUUUAUGGGUUUUUUGUGUCUGAUACAAGAGUUUUCUUCACGUCCCGGUGGGACUAACAUAGGUCGUGGCGAUACGUUUGUUUCACUACCUCGAACGAAUGUUUUGUUCACGUCACCUAGAAGAAUGCAUUAAGAGAUAAUUCAUUUGUUUUCACUUGCCGAUACAGACGUUGUGUUCACGACCCAUUGGAACGAACAUAGGCGUUGGUGGUACGUUUGUUCUCACUAUCUCAUACGAACGUAUAGAUAUUUG
This 701-nucleotide long non-coding RNA is filed under the name Linum usitatissimum (flax). RNAcentral's name for it is "long non-coding RNA (LUSI_LNC002560)". Lineage: Eukaryota; Viridiplantae; Streptophyta; Magnoliopsida; Malpighiales; Linaceae. The record is from RNAcentral.